GACGAACGCUGGCGGCGUGCUUAACACAUGCAAGUCGAACGGAAAGGCCCUGCUUUUGUGGGGUGCUCGAGUGGCGAACGGGUGAGUAACACGUGAGUAACCUGCCCUUGACGUUGGGAUAACUUCAGGAAACUGGGGCUAAUACCGGAUAGGAGCUCCAGCUGGAUGGGGGGGGUUGGAAAGUUUAGGCGGUUUGGGAUGGACUCGCGGGUUAUCAGCUUGUUGGUGGGGUAGUGGCUUACGAAGGCUUUGACGGGUAGCCGGCCUGGGAGGGUGGCCGGCCACAUUGGGACUGCGGUACGGCCCAGACUCCUACGGGAGGCAGCAGUGGGGAAUAUUGCACAAUGGGCGGAAGCCUGAUGCAGCAACGCCGCGUGCGGGAUGACGGCCUUCGUGUUGUAAACCGCUUUCGCCUGUGACGAAGCGUGAGUGACGGUAAUGGGUAAAGAAGCACCGGCUAACUACGUG
This 468-nucleotide ribosomal RNA is filed under the name uncultured bacterium. RNAcentral describes it as "partial 16S ribosomal RNA". It matches the Rfam family "Bacterial small subunit ribosomal RNA", at positions 28 to 507 of the family's 1533-position model. The record is from RNAcentral.